This 8682-nucleotide long non-coding RNA is filed under the name Triticum aestivum (bread wheat). RNAcentral's name for it is "long non-coding RNA (TAES_LNC022806)". The record is from RNAcentral. Lineage: Eukaryota; Viridiplantae; Streptophyta; Magnoliopsida; Poales; Poaceae.
CAGAGGUUGCCAGGAUGGGGCAAACAAUCCGACAAGACAAGCGCCUCAUUCUCCAGCAAGUAUCAAACACCAGGUCUGUAGUCAAUGGAUAGGAGUACGUCUCAGUUCAAGAAGUGAGAUGAGCAGCCCAGUGGCAUGAGAAUGCUGCAGCCAAAAUGAUGAUUUAAUUUUCUGCACAAAAAGGCCGCCGGCAGGGCAUAGCCAACCUUGAGUGCUCCCAGAGAACCUGAUGGAUGGAUUUGGUUUGAGCAUGACUCAGUUUUUAGAUGCUAACUUUCUAUUAUUACUCGCCCCUUGUACUGUUGUAACAUGAAUUACCUUUUUCCAACCAAAUUGCACUGUGCACAUAUCUUUUACAUGAUUUUUUUUAAUGUGUAUUUGUGAUCAUGCGAGGGUCGGAAACUUCUUGUUUGGGCAGUAACCUGCCCCGGUCACGCCCCUGACCUCUAGGUGGACAACUCCGUUGCGAGUAGGACUCAUGGAAGAGCGCGAACGAGCCGGAGAUCAAUUGUAACGCAAAACAGAAGCACCAUCCCACCUCCCCACACUAUAUAGAUAGAGUUCCCCAACUAGUUACCCAAACACGGCAUAUGCGAUCGACCUCUCGUCAUCGUUCCUCGACACCAUGGCCCAAGGCCAAGAAAGCAAGCGCACGAAGUGGGCGCUAGGCGUGAUAACGAUAGUUUUCGCGGUAGGUAUUUUCGCUCCUCUUGCGUGGUUGCUCACGAGGCCAGCCGACAAGCACGUACGAGGUGACCAUCACCAGCGUGGGCGGCCUGGAUCUCCACGGCGACCGGCAGGCGCUCAGCCCGGUGUUCGGCAUCACCCUGCACAUCGACAGCACCCGCAACAAGCUCUUCAACAAGUGCAUCGGCGGCGCCGGCUCCUCCGUGGUCGUGUCGUACGGGGACGCGCUGCUCGCCAAGGGCGCCGUGCCGGAGCUCUGCGUGCACACAUCAGGGGUGGGAGAGGUCGCGGCCGAGGCGUGGGGCUUGAACGUGCAGGUGCCUCAGUUCCUGCGGGACCGGCUGGCCGGCGAGCUAGAGAGCGGCCAGGCGGUGGUGGACGUGGCGGUGCGGACUCCCGUGGGGUGCUACAUAAACAGAUGUCUGGACGCGGUGCUUGUCUGCAAGGCCAAGAUCCAGGGGGGUUCUUCUCCGUGUUACUCUAUGUAGAGGCUAUCAGCGGCACGGGUGCAAAAACAGAUGGUUUAGAGCGUUGAUUUUUAUUUUGUUUUUGCUUAGGAUAGGAUAGCGUGAAGCCUGGAUGUGAAUUUUUGUUUUCAAUCAAGCGCUAUGUUUUAUGGUGGAUCCAAAAGUUUGUAUUUCUCUAUCAAGGAUUGUGUUUAAUAGUUGAUCUGAAUUCUGUAUUUGCAAUCAAGAACUGUGUUUUAUGUUAAGAUUAAAUUAUAAUCUGUAAUUAAGGGAAAUCUUCCCUCGCCCAUCGAAUGAGCGGUUGCGCUCGCACGGACGCCUGUGUCCGUCGCAACCGUCGCCUCUCUCCCAUCCUCCUGGAACCGACUCAUCUCUUCGGGAUCGUCGCAUCUCACAAAGGGAUAUAUAUACUCUCUGUAACCACCGAUCAAGACAAUCAAUCACUUUCGAUUCAAACACGUUAUCACGCACGUAGACAACCAGCGAGAGCGAAAGGCAACAACGAGAGGAGAACAGAGGGAGCACUCGCCGCCGAUGAGAUGCCUGGCCUUGUUUCCUUCUUUCUCCGCCUGAUCCAUGAGGACGGUCAUCGCUACCGUCGCCGCUACCAUGGCGUUGGUGGCCUCCGACGUUUCCGUCGCAGGAUGCAGGCCGUCCGCCAUUUCGGCCGUUGCGCCGCUGGCCGUUAUGGUCACCGCGCCACUGGACAUGGCGCCCGUGGUGGUCACCGCGCCGCUGGACGCGACCACGGCGUUGACGGACGCGCCGCUCCUGGUGCUCACCACGCCCCGGGACAGGGUCGCCGCGCCACAGGACACGCCCACCGCGGUGCUCCUCGCGCCCAUGGGGCUCGACCCUCGGAUGGUGGCCGGCCUGAGCGCCCCGAUGAUGAACGGGGCCGCCGCUGUGCUUGGAUCGCCCCCCCGGAUCUCCGCCUCCACCUCCACCGCCACCGGCCGCGUGGCUCCCGCCCUCGACGCCGACGCCGGCCGGCGAGGCUGUUGGCCCGAGCCGUGGCCCUCCUGGCUACGCGCCCGUCCCGAUGCGUGCCAUUGUGGAUGAAGAGGCCGCACUUGGCUUCGUGUCAGCGCCCACCGACGCCUCCGGCGUCAUCCGCCUCGGAGUAGGGAUGGAAGGUGCCGGCGUCAACUCCCCACCACCACUGGAAGCUUCUGCGGGCCCGAGCAUCCGCGCGGAGUGGCGCUUUGGCCGCCUCUUCGGGCGCGCCGUCGCCGCCCUCAACUGCCGUCCCAGCCGCCGCGCCAGCUCGUGGGCUCCGGCAAGCCUCGGACUCGCCAGCGCAGCACCAGAAGCUGCUCGCCCGGAUCACGUCGUCGUCGACUCUUCUUCGGACGAGGAGGGGUCGUCGAGGCAACGCCGGUGACCACCGGAAUUGCGAGGGCCUGUGGCAACCGCUCCUCCCGACGGUGCCGCCGUGUGAGAGAGGGGAUCGAGCAGAGGUGGUGGUGCGGGGUUCGGAUACUCCGACCCUUAUCCGAUCCACCCGCUCCCCCCGUCUCUUGUGCGGUGCGGCGGCACAUGGGCCGGCCAAAGGCCGGGCAGGCCCAGGCCCAGGCGCCCACGGUGGCUGCUGUUCCUCUCCUGUGCGGUGCUGCAACGGGUGGGCCGGCCAGAAGUGUGGAUAUUUUUUCCUCUGUUUUCUAACAUUAGUACUAAUUAUUGUAUUUGUGCAAUUUUAGACUAUGUUUAGUACUGUUUAGUACUUAGAUUGACUACUACUUACAUUUUAGUCCUGUUCUAGAUUUAUUCUAUGUUAGGACUUGUGUAAUUAUUAGUAGGUGUGUUUAUAUUAUGUAAUGGAUUGCAUAUAAAUAGAGUACCGGAGUUCUUCUGGGAAGAAUGACAUGUUCUAUGUGUUUACCACAUACCCAGUUCUCUUGAACAUGUACUUGCGAUUGAGAUCAUCUUCUCUUGCAUAUCAAACUUGCAAAUUUUUGAAUAUUUCUCCCUCCUUAUAUAUGAAUUGUAGCAUACACAAGGUAAUGGCAAUGUAGCCUAUUACUGUGAGAUCUAAGUGAUCUUCAAUGUGUUAUGUUUACACAAUUGAGGUUGAGAAUUUUUCAAGUUUUACACUUGAGCAUCAAAUUUUUGCGUUCUUAUUACAGAACCAUGAUGGUUUUAAUUUACCACCCGUAAAUUAAUUAUCUCUGGUUCCUCAUGUAGGCAAAGAUGACUGCCAAAGAGUUUGAGGAGCUUGCCCUCAAUGGACACAAUUACCCUACAUGGGCUAUGGACAUCAAGAUCAGUCUUGCGUCCCGUGGGAUAGCGCGUGCAAUACAACCCCCGAAGACUCCUCUCCUGGAUGGGGCCACGCCGCUGACAAAACAACGGAACUAUGCUGCCUUAUUCAUCAUAAGGCACCAUAUUCAUCCAGAUCUCAAGUCUGAGUAUUUACAGGAGGAAUCUCCUAGUACUCUGUUUCUGGCCCUCAAAACGAGGUAUGAACAGCAGAAGGCAGUAGUCCUGCCAGAAGCACUCCAUGAUUGGACUCAUCUCCGUCUUCAGGAUUUCAAGUCCAUUGGUGAGUACAAUCAUGCUAUUCAUAAGAUAUGUUCCAAAAUGCGCUUUUGUGAGAAGGAACCUACUGAGGGGGAGAAGAUAGAGAAAACUUUGUCUACUAUGCUUCCUUCAGAUAGGAUCCUCCAACAACAAUACCGUGCUCGUAACUACACUAUCUAUUCCGAGCUUAUUCACAUGUUACUUCAGGCUGAAAAGCAUGAUGAGCUACUUGCUAAGAAUGACUCUCAGCGCCCAGUUGGGGCACAACCUUUACCUGAAGUCCAUCUGAAUGUUGCAAAUAGACAAAAGUUUAAUGGUACCCCUCGGGGUAAACAAUCCAAUUUCGAGCAUAAGCGAAAGCGCAACAGGAACAGGAGAUCUAGAUACCCAGGCAAGGGAAAAGGCACUUCAAAGCCUAGGUUUGAUAAAUCUAAGCUUUGCAGCAAGUGUGGACGCUACACUCAUUCUACUGAAAAGUGCACAAUUCCCAAGCAUCUGGUUCUGCUGUACCGGCAAUCUCAGGGACGCAAAGCAUCUCAAGGGAAAAGGUUUGAAGCCAACUUCAACCUUCAUCUGCAUAGCGCAAAAGGAGUCGGUGAUUCACAUGAUGUUCUCCUGGACCGAGCAACACCAUGAUUCCUUAUCUGCCUGAGGAUACUGCUGAAACGGAGAACACGUUGAUUGAGUACACCGCAAACCACGUGUUUGGCGACUUCGACUAGUCCCUCAAUCUCCUAGUGAUCUACUUAAUUAUGUCCAUUUGUGAUGAUUGUAAUAAGAACAUAAGUUUGUUGUUGUCUUUAUAUUGUAUUGUAUCAGCACAUUUGAUAUAAUAAAGAUUGUAUUCUAUAUAUGACUAUGAGGUUUUCUUAUUGAAAAUACUUUGUUUUAUAUAGUUUUCUACGGGGACAAUCCGAUGGAAGAGGACUUAUGCCUUGUGGACAGUGGUACCACAAACUCCAUACCGAGGGAGAUGAAAUAUUUCCAAACUCUAAAAAAGAUGAAUGAAGAUAUUCUAACUAUUGCUUGACGCGAUACAAUGAUUGUUGGUACUGGACGUGCCAUAUUCACCCUCCCAAGCGGUACACAAGUGACGAUUGAGGAUGCUUUAUUGCAUCUCGACUCAUCACGUACCCUGAUCAGUUAUCGAGAUAUCCGUAAGAAUGGUUUUCACAUUGAAACCCAUGAAGACAACAACGAGGAGUAUCUACUCUUUACUAAAGAUGACGGAUAUGGCAAAAAGGUACAUGAGAAAAUUCCUUCUUUAUCGUCUGGUUUAUACUAUACGUACAUCAAACCCGUGGAACAUGUUGCAUACAAAGUAAUUUUUCAAAUUGUUAACGCAUUCCAAACCUGGCAUGAUCGCCUAGGCCAUCCUGGAAUAGGGAUGAUGAGAUAAAUUACUAGCAAUUCCAUUGGUCAUAAUUUGCUUGAGUCAAAAUUUCCUCAAUCUUCUGAUUUUGUGUGCACAUCUUGUGCCACGGGAAAGCUAAUUUUGAGGCCCUCACACCUCAAAAUACAAGCUGAACCACUUCAGUUCCUUGAACGUAUUUAAGGAGACAUUUGUGGUCCCAUUCAGCCAUUAUCUGGACCUUUCCGGUAUUUCAUGGUUCUGAUUGAUGCAUCUACACGAUGGUCACAUGUGUGUCUUCUAUCCACACAAAACCAUGCAUUUGCCAAGAUAAUAAGGCAAGUCAUUAAGUUGCAAGCCCAUUAUCCUGAAAGUCGAAUUAAGUCAAUUCAAAUGGAUAAUGCUGCAGAAUUCUCCUCACGUGCUUUCAAUGAUUAUUGCAUGGCUUUGGGGAUUGAAGUUCAGCACUCUGUUCCAUAUGUUCAUACACAAAAUGGUUUGGCUGAAGCAUCGAUUAAGAGGAUCAAACUCAUUGCAAGACCUUUGUUGACGAAUUGCAACUUGCCAACCUCUUGUUGGGGUCACGCUGUUUUACACGCUACUGACUUGAUACAAUUGAGGCCAACUGCAUAUCACAGUUCUUCCCCUCUGGAAUUGGUACGUGGAAAUUCUCCAAGCAUUUCCCAUCUGCGUAAGUUCAGAUGUGCUGCAUACAUCCCGAUCUCACCACCACAGCGGACAUCUAUGGGCCCACACAGGAAGUUGGGGAUAUAUGUGGGGUACAAAUCGCCGUCGAUUAUCAAGUACCUGGAACCCCUGACUGGGGAUCUGUUCACAGCCCGUCACGCUGAUUGCAUAUUUAAUGAGGAACAUUUUCCGGCAUUAGGGGGAGAUUUCAAGUACCAGAAAGAAUGCCCGGAAAUUGAUUGGAAUGCUCAUGCCAUUUCAUCCUCUGAUCCACGUACCCAAGAGACCGAACUUCAAGUUCAGAAGAUCAUUAAUUUGCAACAUCUUGCAAAUAAUCUGCCAGAUUCAUUUACUGAUUUGGAAGGUGUUACAAAGUCCUUAAACCUAACCAGAAACGCACCGGAAAGAGUGAAGGUACCAACAAAAACCACUCAACUCCCUAUUCCUAAAAAGAUGGGGAGUAGUACGGUCUCUGACCUGGAGCAUGCUUCUAGCAAGCAACAAAGGAAAUCGAGGAGAAAAACCUCAGAGUCAGUAAAUGCAGGUCAACUCAACGUUGACAAACACCUGAUGGGUAGUAUACACCCCGUGGAAUGGCAACCUCCACAACCCAGUUCUAGUGUGUACAAACUGACUGGGACAUCAGAACACCCAGACUCGAUAGUAUUGGGAAAUCACGAAGAGUCACUAGGGGUGCAGGAAAUUUCCAUCAACUAUGUUGAUUCUGGAGAAUCAUUUGACCGUAAGACUACGACUGUCGACAUAUAUUUUGCUGAAAAGAUUGCAGAUACCCUUCUCACUGAUCAUGAUCCAAGGUCUAUCGUUGGGUGCCAAAAAUGCUCCGACUGGCCUAAAUGGAAGGAUGCAAUCCAAGCAGAAAUUGCCUCGCUUAACAAAAGAAAGGUAUUCAUUGAAGCAAUACCUACACCUCCCAGUGUUUUCCCUGUGGGAUUCAAAUGGGUUUUUCUCCGGAAACGGAAUGAAAACAAUGAGGUGGUGAGAUAUAAAGUAAGGCUCGUAGCACAAGGUUUCACGCAUAAACCCGACACUGAUUUCACUGAAACAUAUUCUCCAGUGAUGAGUGCAACCACUUUCCGAUAUCUUAUAUCUCUGGCAGUGCAAAAGCGUCUAUCUAUGCAGUUGAUGGACGUCGUGACCGCAUGUCUUUACGGUCACUAGAUUCGAACAUAUAUAUGAAGGUUCCAGAUGGAAUCUCGGUCCCGAAUAAAAAUGCAAAACGCAACAUGUAUUGUGUAAAGCUGAAUAAGUCAUUAUAUGGCUUAAGGCAGUCGGGACGGAUGUGGUACAACCGACUCAGUGAUUUCCUUCUUGAGAAAGGUUACUGCAAUAGUACUGAUUGCCCAUGUGUUUUCAUCAAGAAGUCCUCUACAUGGUUUUGUAUAAUUUCUGUGUAUGUUGAUGAUCUCAACAUCAUCGGCAGCACACCAAACAUUGAUGAAGCACGCAAUCACCUAAAGAUGGAAUUUGAGAUGAAGGAUUUGGGCAAAACCAAAUUUUGCUUAGGUAUUCAACUUGAGCACCUUCCAUCAGGAAUCAUGGUACACCAAUCUGCCUAUAUCCAGAAAAUAUUGGAGAAAUUAAAUAUGGACAAAUCCUAUCCAUCCAAAACUCCCAUGGUGGUUCGAUCUUUAGACUUGGAGAAAGAUCCGUUUAGACCAAGAGAUGAUGGAGAAGAGGUGUUGGGACUUGAAGUUCCAUACCUCAGUGCCGUUGGAGCGCUUAUGUAUCUUGCAAAUUUCACACGACCUGAUAUUGCAUUUGCAGUGAAUCUACUUGCUAGACAUAGCGCAGCUCCCACCAAACGUCAUUGGUCUGGAGUGAAGAACGUCUUUCGAUAUCUCCAAGGCACAAAGGAUCUUGGUUUAUUUUUCCAGUUCCAGAAAAAUCAGGACUUUGAUAUGAUUGGAUAUGCAGAUGCCGACUAUUUGUCUGAUCCCCAUAAUGCCAGAUCUCAGACCGGCUUCAUGUUCCUACAUGGUGGUAUUGCUAUAUCAUGGAAGUCUUUGAAACAGACUCUGGUGGAAACAUCUACCAAUCAUUCUGAAAUAAUUUCAUUAUUUGAAGCAACAUGUGAAUAUGUAUGGCUUCGCAGAAUGAUAAACCAUAUACAACAGUCAUGUGGAAUUGGUUCGAUAGAAUCACCUACCAUUAUCUAUGAAGAUAAUGCGGCCAUUGUUGCGCAUCUGCAAACAGGGUACAUCAAGAGUAAUAUCACCAAGCAUAUUUCUCCUAAAUUGUUUUCCCCCCAUAAUCUUCAGAAAAGCAGGGAAAUAAGCAUUUUGCAAGUCAAAUCAUGCGACAACCUUGUUGAUUUAUUUACCAAGUCUCUACCAAAUUCUAUGUUCCAGAAAUGUGUUCAUGGAAUUGGUAUGCGAAGACUUAGGGACUUGCAGGUGUCAGGGGGAGUCUCUUCCUGAGAUAUCCUUAUUUUAAUGACAUCACAUUAUGCUAUUUUUCUUUGUGAGUAUGUGUUUCAGGAUCUCAUCAAAGAUUUUAUGAAGAACUUUUGAAGGAGAAUCUUUUGAGAUGAUAGAACUUCCCGGACAAUCGUGAAGAUGAUUCUACAUGAUCAAGCGUAGAUUAGGGGGAGUGUUAAGAUUAAAUUAUAAUCUGUAAUUAAGGGAAAUCUCCCCUUGCCCAUCGAACAAGCGGUUGCGCCCGCACGGACGCCUGUGUUCGUCGCAACCGUCGCCUCUCUCCCAUCCUCCUGGAACCGACACAUCUCUUCGGGAUCGUUGCAUCUCACCAGGGGAUAUAUAUAUACUCUUUGUAACCAUCGAUCAAGACAAUCAAUCACUUUCGAUUCAAACAUUUUACAGUGGAUCUGAAUUUUAUUCUUUCGUUCAAUAAAUGCAUGCCUUCUAUAUGUACCACCCCCUCCGUCACAUAAUGUGUGCAUUGCUAUUCGUGAAAACCGAGUAUCACAAAUUUGAUCAAGUUUUUUUUUGU